AUGAAUAGAACGGGCCGACUUGACCUGAUCAACUCGGUCCUCACUGCCACCAUCAUCUAUUUCCUCACGUCUUUCUUCCCCAGCAGCUGGUUCACUACCAAAUUUGAUAAGUUAAGGAGAAAUUUCCUAUGGAACGCCGAUGAGGAGGCGCAUGGGGGAAAAUGUCUGGUUAACUGGAAGAGAAUCUGUGCACCUUUAAGCGUGGGUGGGCUGGGCAUCAAGGAUAUCAAUGCUUUUGGCCGGGCUCUUCGCCUUCGAUGGCCUUGGUUUGAAUGGGAUAGCUCGGACAGGUCAUGGAAAGGGACCCCGGUGCCUUGCAAUCAAUCUGACCUUGAUCUUUUUGCGGCAUGCACUUCGAUUUCUCUGGGAGAUGGCCGUUUAGUGAAAUUCUGGAGUCAUAGAUGGUUAGAGGGCCAAGCUCCAAAAGAUUGGGCACCUGAUCUUUUCAUGGCAAGGUCCAAAGGGCUCUCUGUCAUUCAGGCUCUUGAUGGAGAUGCAUGGAUGAGAGGACUGCAGAAUAUCAACUAUGCUGGGCUGAUGAACUCAUUUAUUAACCUCUGGAUGAAAUUAUAGAAUAUUUCCUUGCUCUCUAGACCUGACACUAUCACUUGGAAGCUAACGGCUAGCGGGCAAUACACGGCACAAUCGGCUUACCAAGUUUAGUUCUUGGCGCGUAUCCCACAACCACACCUGCAGCAGGUCUGGAAGAUUACAACUGAAAAGAAAGUAAAGUUCUUCAUCUGA
RNAcentral lists this ribosomal RNA (744 nucleotides) under Triticum aestivum (bread wheat). RNAcentral's name for it is "partial small subunit ribosomal RNA". The record is from RNAcentral. Lineage: Eukaryota; Viridiplantae; Streptophyta; Magnoliopsida; Poales; Poaceae.